CCUAAUUCAAAUCUAUCCAAUGAAGUGUCUCACACGCUUUUGGCAUCUCUUAGCUGUCCCAAAAGCUCCUUUCCCUUUUCCAGCUGUGCCAGCCUGUCCAAGGCUCUUCCCUUAUCCUUUCCAACGGAUAGAUCAGAUGGUAAUAGACUUGAGUAACUCCUUCUUCCUAACCGCGUUACUCGGGUAAGUUUAUGGUUGAUGUUUGGCCGAUCCUCCCAUGUACGGAUGGUACGGCCCGUACGGCCUAGGUCGAGCCAAACACUCCCAUUCAUUCCUAAGCUUCCUCCUCUUCAGCUAUCUCAACCCAUCAUCUCUUCUCUUCUUAUUCCUCAUCUCAUCUCAACACUCCCCCU
RNAcentral lists this long non-coding RNA (353 nucleotides) under Brassica napus (rape). RNAcentral describes it as "long non-coding RNA (BNAP_LNC018833)". Lineage: Eukaryota; Viridiplantae; Streptophyta; Magnoliopsida; Brassicales; Brassicaceae. The record is from RNAcentral.